This 250-nucleotide ribosomal RNA is filed under the name uncultured bacterium. RNAcentral's name for it is "partial 16S ribosomal RNA". It matches the Rfam family "Bacterial small subunit ribosomal RNA", at positions 524 to 774 of the family's 1533-position model. The record is from RNAcentral.
GACAGAGGGUGCAAACGUUGUUCGGAAUUACUGGCGUAAAGCGAGUGUAGGCGGUUCGGUAAGUCGGAUGUGAAAGCCCCGGGCUCAACCCGGGAAGUGCACUCGAUACUGCCGAGCUAGAGUAUCGGAGAGGUUGGUGGAAUUCUCGGUGUAGAGGUGAAAUUCGUAGAUAUCGAGAGGAACACCGGUGGCGAAGGCGGCCAACUGGACGAAUACUGACGCUGAGACUCGAAAGCGUGGGGAGCAAACA